This 454-nucleotide ribosomal RNA is filed under the name uncultured bacterium. RNAcentral's name for it is "bacterial SSU rRNA". It matches the Rfam family "Bacterial small subunit ribosomal RNA", at positions 340 to 786 of the family's 1533-position model. The record is from RNAcentral.
UACGGGAGGCAGCAGUGGGGAAUAUUGCACAAUGGGCGCAAGCCUGAUGCAGCCAUGCCGCGUGUAUGAAAAAGGCCUUCGGGUUGUAAAGUACUUUCAGUCGUGAGGAAGGUGUUAAGGUUAAUAACCUUAGCAAUUGACGUUAGCGACAGAAGAAGCACCGGCUAACUCCGUGCCAGCAGCCGCGGUAAUACGGAGGGUGCGAGCGUUAAUCGGAAUUACUGGGCGUAAAGGGCACGCAGGCGGUUAAUUAAGUUGGAUGUGAAAUCCCCGGGCUUAACCUGGGAAUGGCAUUCAAGACUGGUUAGCUAGAGUCUUGUAGAGGGGGUAGAAUUCCAUGUGUAGCGGUGAAAUGCGUAGAGAUGUGGAGGAAUCCGGUGGCGAAGGCGGCCCCUGGACAAAGACUGACGCUCAUGUGCGAAAGCGUGGGGAGCGAAACGAGGGAUUAGAUACC